This 496-nucleotide ribosomal RNA is filed under the name uncultured bacterium. RNAcentral's name for it is "partial 16S ribosomal RNA". It matches the Rfam family "Bacterial small subunit ribosomal RNA", at positions 28 to 506 of the family's 1533-position model. The record is from RNAcentral.
GAUGAACGCUGGCGGCGUGCCUAAUACAUGCAAGUCGAGCGAACGGACGAGAAGCUUGCUUUUCUGAUGUUAGCGGCGGACGGGUGAGUAACACGUGGAUAACCUACCUAUAAGACUGGGAUAACUUCGGGAAACCGGAGCUAAUACCGGAUAAUAUUUUGAACCGCAUGGUUCAAAAGUGAAAGACGGUCUUGCUGUCACUUAUAGAUGGAUCCGCGCUGCAUUAGCUAGUUGGUAAGGUAACGGCUUACCAAGGCAACGAUGCAUAGCCGACCUGAGAGGGUGAUCGGCCACACUGGAACUGAGACACGGUCCAGACUCCUACGGGAGGCAGCAGUAGGGAAUUUUCCGCAAUGGGCGAAAGCCUGACGGAGCAACGCCGCGUGAGUGAUGAAGGUCUUCGGAUCGUAAAACUCUGUUAUUAGGGAAGAACAUAUGUGUAAGUAACUGUGCACAUCUUGACGGUACCUAAUCAGAAAGCCACGGCUAACUACGU